GUGCCAGCAGCCGCGGUAAUACGUAGGUGGCAAGCGUUGUCCGGAUUUACUGGGCGUAAAGCGCGCGCAGGCGGCUGAUUAAGUCCGAUGUGAAAUCUCCCGGCUCAACCGGGAGCGGUCAUUGGAUACUGGUCGGCUUGAGGGAGGCAGAGGAGAGUGGAAUUCCCGGUGUAGUGGUGGAAUGCGUAGAUAUCGGGAGGAACACCAGCGGCGAAGGCGGCUCUCUGGGCCUUUCCUGACGCUGAGGCGCGAAAGCGUGGGGAGCAAACCGGAUUAGAAACCCGGGUAGUCC
RNAcentral lists this ribosomal RNA (292 nucleotides) under uncultured bacterium. RNAcentral describes it as "partial 16S ribosomal RNA". It matches the Rfam family "Bacterial small subunit ribosomal RNA", at positions 505 to 796 of the family's 1533-position model. The record is from RNAcentral.